ACCCUGGUAGUCCACGCCGUAAACGGUGGGCGCUAGUUGUGGGGACCUUCCACGGUCUCUGCGACGCAGCUAACGCAUUAAGCGCCCCGCCUGGGGAGUACGAUCGCAAGAUUAAAACUCAAAGGAAUUGACGGGGCCCCGCACAAGCAGCGGAGCAUGCGGCUUAAUUCGACGCAACGCGAAGAACCUUACCAAGGCUUGACAUAUAGGGAAAAGUGGCAGAGAUGUCAUGUCCGCAAGGGCUCUAUACAGGUGGUGCAUGGUUGUCGUCAGCUCGUGUCGUGAGAUGUUGGGUUAAGUCCCGCAACGAGCGCAACCCUCGUUCUGUGUUGCCAGCAUUUAGUUGGGGACUCACAGGAGACUGCCGGGGUUAACUCGGAGGAAGGUGGGGAUGACGUCAAAUCAUCAUGCCCCUUAUGUCUUGGGCUGCACGCAUGCUACAAUGGCGCAUACAAACGGCUGCAAUACCGCAAGGUGGAGCGAAUCCGAAAAAGUGCGUCUCAGUUCGGAUUGAGGUCUGCAACUCGACCUCAUGAAGUCGGAGUUGCUAGUAAUCGUAGAUCAGCAACGCUACGGUGAAUACGUUCCCGGGGCUUGUACACACCGCCCGUCACGUCACGAAAGUCGGUAACACCCAAAGUCAGUGGCCCAACC
RNAcentral lists this ribosomal RNA (654 nucleotides) under uncultured Actinomycetes bacterium. Its description in RNAcentral is "bacterial SSU rRNA". It matches the Rfam family "Bacterial small subunit ribosomal RNA", at positions 784 to 1440 of the family's 1533-position model. The record is from RNAcentral. Lineage: Bacteria; Bacillati; Actinomycetota; Actinomycetes.